UACCAGCUCUCCGAGUGGUAGGGAUGAUUAUUGGGCUUAAAGCGUCCGUAGCCGGCUUAGCAAGUCUCCUGUUAAAUUCAGCGACCUAAUCGUUGAGCCGCGGGAGAUACUACUAGGCUAGGAGGCGGGAGAGGUCGACGGUACUUUCGGGGUAGGGGUGAAAUCCUAUAAUCCCGGGAGGACCACCAGUGGCGAAGGCUGUCGACUAGAACGCGCUCGACGGUGAGGGACGAAAGCUGGGGGAGCGAACCGGAUUAGAUACCCGGGUAGUCCCAGCUGUAAACGAUGCGGGCUAGGUGUUGGGGUGGCUACGGGCCACUUCAGUGCCGCAGGAAAGCCAUUAAGCCCGCCGCCUGGGGAGUACGGCCGCAAGGCUGAAACCUAAAGGAAUUGGCGGGGGAGCACCACAAGGCGUGAAGCUUGCGGUUC
Molecule: ribosomal RNA, 429 nt
Filed under: uncultured archaeon
Lineage: Archaea
Description: bacterial SSU rRNA
Rfam family: Archaeal small subunit ribosomal RNA
Source: RNAcentral